RNAcentral lists this ribosomal RNA (255 nucleotides) under uncultured bacterium. Its description in RNAcentral is "partial 16S ribosomal RNA". It matches the Rfam family "Bacterial small subunit ribosomal RNA", at positions 524 to 776 of the family's 1533-position model. The record is from RNAcentral.
UACGUAGGGUGCGAGCGUUAUCCGGAAUUAUUGGGCGUAAAGAGCUCGUAGGCGGUUUGUCGCGUCUGCCGUGAAAGUCCGGGGCUCAACUCCGGAUCUGCGGUGGGUACGGGCAGACUAGAGUGAUGUAGGGGAGACUGGAAUUCCUGGUGUAGCGGUGAAAUGCGCAGAUAUCAGGAGGAACACCGAUGGCGAAGGCGGCCUGCUGGGCAGUUUAGCUGACACUGAGGCGCGACAGCGUGGGGAGCAAACAGG